This 385-nucleotide ribosomal RNA is filed under the name uncultured prokaryote. Its description in RNAcentral is "bacterial SSU rRNA". It matches the Rfam family "Bacterial small subunit ribosomal RNA", at positions 355 to 796 of the family's 1533-position model. The record is from RNAcentral.
CAAGGAAUUUUCCGCAAUGGGCGCAAGCCUGACGGAGCAACGCCGCGUGCCGGAUGACGGCUUUCGGGUUGUAAAGAAACCCCGGCUAACUCCGUGCCAGCAGCCGCGGUAAUACGGAGGGGGUUAGCGUUGUUCGGAAUUACUGGGCGUAAAGCGCGCGUAGGCUGACUAUUAAGUCAGAGGUGAAAUCCCGGGGCUCAACCCCGGAACUGCCUUUGAUACUGGUAGUCUUGAGUUCGAGAGAGGUGAGUGGAAUUCCGAGUGUAGAGGUGAAAUUCGUAGAUAUUCGGAGGAACACCAGUGGCGAAGGCGGCUCACUGGCUCGAUACUGACGCUGAGGUGCGAAAGUGUGGGGAGCAAACAGGAUUAGAUACCCCGGUAGUCC